CUGAACAUUGGGUAUCUUCUUCUGAGAUCGAAUACACAGGAUUAGCCAUCAAUAACUGCCGGCUUUCAACGGGUCCGGCUAUCCUUUCACCGGUCGGUCAGUUAUGGAAGACUCUGCUGGGUAGAAGCCCGAAUAUCAUUAAGAAUAUCUUAACAUUUUUUAUUUCUGUGUGUUUUUUUUUAAAUAAUGGAAGGUAAUAUAUGAAUAAGAACAGAUAGCAUUCUGCUAGAGAGAGAGGGCGCUAGCCCGGGUACAUAAGUAUAAGGUCCACCAGUGCACACAAUUAUUCUGUUAUUAUCUCCUGCCCGUUUAACUACUCCUCGAGACAUUUCUGCUGAUGGGCCCUUGAAUUAUAGCAGGAGCAACCUCAAUUGCCGUAC
Molecule: long non-coding RNA, 380 nt
Filed under: Nicotiana benthamiana
Lineage: Eukaryota; Viridiplantae; Streptophyta; Magnoliopsida; Solanales; Solanaceae
Description: long non-coding RNA (NBEN_LNC033420)
Source: RNAcentral